GCCACGGUGGUCUAGCGGUUAGCACGCUGGCCUUGUAAUCCUGGGGUCUCGGGUUCGAUUCCCGGCGGUGCCC
Non-coding RNA from Zootermopsis nevadensis, 73 nucleotides. Lineage: Eukaryota; Metazoa; Arthropoda; Insecta; Blattodea; Termopsidae. The record is from Rfam.